This 207-nucleotide long non-coding RNA is filed under the name Physcomitrium patens. RNAcentral's name for it is "long non-coding RNA (PPAT_LNC014705)". The record is from RNAcentral. Lineage: Eukaryota; Viridiplantae; Streptophyta; Bryopsida; Funariales; Funariaceae.
UUGGAAUGAAGGUUGAGAAUGGAAGGAGUUGGAGUUGGGAAUGAAAGAGGUAAGGAUGAAGGCUAGGAAUGGAGAGAAUAAGGACUAGGAACGAGGAGGGUUAAGAUUCUAAUGAAGGUUUUUAGACAUGAUCCAUUUUUCUAAUGAUGGUUACAAUAGAAUGGAUUUAUUUUGUAAAUAGGUAGGUCACUUUGAUAUUUCUCUCUC